RNAcentral lists this ribosomal RNA (253 nucleotides) under uncultured bacterium. Its description in RNAcentral is "partial 16S ribosomal RNA". It matches the Rfam family "Bacterial small subunit ribosomal RNA", at positions 524 to 776 of the family's 1533-position model. The record is from RNAcentral.
GACGUAGGAUGCGAGCGUUGUCCGGAUUUAUUGGGCGUAAAGAGUUCGUAGGCGGUUCGUUAAGUCUGAUGUUAAAGACUGGGGCCCAACCCUGGGAGUGCAUUGGAUACUGGCGGACUGGAGUGCAGUAGAGGCAAGCGGAAUUCCAGGUGUAGCGGUGAAAUGCGUAGAUAUCAGGAGGAACACCGGUGGCGAAGGCGGCAUCCUGGACCGGCAUUGACGCUGAGGCGCGAAAGCCAGGGGAGCAAACGGG